UCUUCUCCAUUUCAAAGACACUGCAUAUCCUUAGAAACCCUUCAUUACAGAGGGUUAGUGUUAAAAACCUCAGUGGUAGGGUAUAUAUUAUAUAAGUUAAAAAAUAAAAAAGAAGAAGCCCUCUAAGGCUCAAGCAGAAAUAUUCUACAGAGGGGAAUUUUUUAGGCAGAAAGAAACAGCUAGGUAAGCAACCCAUAACUUUCUCCCCCAUUGCUUUUUCUCACUUCAGGAGGCCCAGUAUGGUGGUGAGAAGAACCAGAAGGCACUCAAAAUUUAGGCCAGAAGGAUACGGGUAUGAGGAGAAAGAGAUAAUCCUUCCCACCUGCAUGCUUCCUCUUAGGACUUUAGGUCUGCCUACAUGUUGAAGAAGUUUGAGUUUUAGGCUUUGGGAGCAUUUCCUUAAAAACCAUUGUCAUGGGGGAGGAAAAAAAAAAGGGUAGUGUUAAUUCUGUCCUCACACACUCAGAGAUCAUUUGGUUGGGCUACAUUUUAUGAGCUAUAUUCCAUAAAGAUGCUGCAAAGUUCAGGUAUCUGGUUUAGGAAAGAAAAAAAAAUCCCUUCUUUAACCCAAGAAAUGUAAUGCAAACAACUUGGGCCUGUGUCACUUAGUCUUCUAAGAAGACUUCAAGGCUGUUAUAAAGACCCAGUGGUGGGAGAAACCUGAUCCGGUAUAGCGGGGCCAGAAGAAGCUGCAGGACCAUGCCGCGGGGACAAGGCAAGGAAAUUUGAACAAUAACAGCUGCUUUCAGAAAUAAACCGCGACUUUGUGCAGCGUUUAUUACCUGACGAGCUGAAAUGCAUUGUUAAUGAGACUCGCCCGAUCAUUACUGCUGACUGCUGUGUGUGUUCCUUUUAAAAGGCCAGUCAAAGAGUCCCAUCCAUCAUCCUCGUAAUGCACAAUGUAAUAGCCAUUCAUGCCCAGAUUAAAUUUGAUCCAUUCCACCUCUUCUGGGAGGAUGAGCACAUCUAGAGUAAAUAAAAUAAAUCAAAGCUC
This 994-nucleotide non-coding RNA is filed under the name Pan troglodytes (chimpanzee). The record is from RNAcentral. Lineage: Eukaryota; Metazoa; Chordata; Mammalia; Primates; Hominidae.